This is an RNA transcript of Ostrinia nubilalis (European corn borer), 826 nucleotides long. RefSeq lists it as uncharacterized. The transcript has 2 exons. Lineage: Eukaryota; Metazoa; Arthropoda; Insecta; Lepidoptera; Crambidae. The record is from RefSeq and is a predicted model, not a curated record.
CGUCUUCAGUUUUAUGAAAAAACUAGAGAAAUUCAAAAGAAGGCAUCUCUUGACAAGGAGAUACAGAAAACCAAAAUACAUGUGACCAAACAGAAGAGAACAUGUCAUCUAAUGUUAUAAUAAUGAACACUGAUCUUGGUAAUUAGUUAAUUAUUAUACUUCUUAAAGUUUGCUUCAUGACAUAAUAAGUUUUAUUUUAUUGUAGAUCAUGACUAUGAAACGACCACGGCCAAAACAAAUUGUGUCGAAGAAGAUAAUAAUAAUAUUAGUGAACUUUGCACAGUUACAUAUAUUAAAGCAGGUAAUAAUUUGUAUAAAUAAUAUUUAAUAACACAUCACAAUAAUCAAGAUAUUUUAUGUACAAGGUAAAGAAGAACAAAUGAUAAUAAAAUCUAGUCCUACAUAUUUUUGUUAACCUUUCCAAUUACUCUGUCUAAUCAUUGAAGGAAAUAUUGUCACAUUUAACUCAAGAAACAAUUUUAAUUAUGUCCCAUAUUUCAGUUUUUAUAUUAUGUAGUCAACAGUUACUUUCUAAUUUCAGGCAAUGAAGACACAAACAUUACUUUGGACACAAGUAUUAAGAAGCUUCAGUGCACAAGUAAUACAAAAAGUUAAUUUAAUUUCCAUUAUACAAUUUAAACUGAUUAAAAUCUUUAAAGAAAUCACCUGUAUAAUAAUUACUAGUUACAAAUUUAGUAUAUUAUGGAUUUCAGGACAAGUGAAACCAAGAAAAGAUGGCAGUAACAUUAAGCAACAAUAUUUUAAAACAAAAUUAAGAAAUGCUAGAUUAGAAAAUAGAUAUUGGAUCAACAGAAACAAAAUGGAA